Coemansia sp. RSA 1836 is the source of this 93-nucleotide non-coding RNA. NCBI's taxonomy places the organism in Eukaryota, Fungi, Kickxellomycota, Kickxellomycetes, Kickxellales, Kickxellaceae. The record is from the annotation of a GenBank genome assembly.
GCACCAGUAGUUUAAUGGUAGAAUAGCAGCUUCCCAUGAAUCAACGGAUUAAGUGAUUAGCUGUUGGCUCGGGUUCGAUUCCCGGCUGGCGCA